Molecule: ribosomal RNA, 523 nt
Filed under: Globigerina bulloides
Lineage: Eukaryota; Foraminifera; Rotaliida; Globigerinidae
Description: partial 18S ribosomal RNA
Rfam family: Eukaryotic small subunit ribosomal RNA (bases 1-245)
Source: RNAcentral
CUGUGUAGGAUAGACCUCUGAACAGUACGCAACGAACGCGAUCGUAAUCCCUUGUUGAGUGGCCAUCCUGUAAGCUGCUGGAUUUGGAACCCAGUGGUAUUAUCUCAGCCACAGAUUUUCUGGUUGUAAUGGGCCAGUUUUGAAACUCGGGGAACAUCUGUGACUUUCUUUCUUAACGCAGAGGAAGGUUAUGGCAAUAACAGGUCUGUGAUGCCCUUAGAUGUCCAGGGCUGCACACGUACUACAUUGAUCAACUCAGUAGGCGUCGUGUUUUCUCCAAUAACGUAUCUAGUGGACUUGGUGUCGGGUGUGUGGCCUCUGGUCAUGUACUUUGAUUACUGUCACUUUAAACACUGGUCGUUAGACUCGUGCAAUCCAAUAGAAGAGGUGACUCAGUAUUCAGUACCGUGUUAAUCUCCCGUGUUCGUAGUGGCCCCGCGCAUUGCCAGUCGUAGUGGGUCCUUUGUGCUUUUUUCAAAUCUUAGUGGGGACAGACAUCUGUUAACUUUUUGUCUCGGUCCCA